This 8696-nucleotide long non-coding RNA is filed under the name Malus domestica (apple). RNAcentral describes it as "long non-coding RNA (MDOM_LNC010250)". Lineage: Eukaryota; Viridiplantae; Streptophyta; Magnoliopsida; Rosales; Rosaceae. The record is from RNAcentral.
CUUAUACCUCUUGAUCUAGACUUGAGACCAAGGAUGGACCACCUUCAAGCCCUUUGUUCCUUAAAGUCCUUGAGCCUAGCCUCCCUCCUUGCCUCCUCCACUUUGUUAGUAAGAGUGCUCCAAGGUUCUCCUUAAGUCUCCAAAGGAGAAGACCUCUAAAGAUCCACACCCACUAGUGUAGUGAGAUGGAUGGAGGAAUAACCAAAAGGGUGAAAGAUUGUUAGUAAAUUCACCCUCUAGGUGGCCGGCCUUUGUGGUUUUAGAGAGCUAUUUUCUUUUGCCUCUUUGUUGUUCAAAAACUCACAAAAACCCUAAUGAACUUUGUGCUAUAAAGUUCCUUAUAUAGACAAAAGAAACCUAGUCAACAACUUAACUAAAUAUCUCUCCCAAACCCUUUAAGUGGCCGGCCCUUUAGUGUUUGGUUUGGGCUUUGGGCUUUUAUUAUUUCAAGUCAUCCUAUGCUUAAAUAAAAGCCCAAUGGGUUUAGGCCCAAUGGGCCCAAUUAAACCCGAACGUUUCUUUAAGCCCAAAACGAUCUUUUAUCGCUUUUAUGAUUUCUUUAGACUUUCUAAAUUAAUCACAACACUUAAUCAAUCCAAUUAAUUAUUUCCAUCAUCCAUUAAUUACUCACUACAAGAGUGUAUCCGUGUACAAUCAUUUUAGGUUCUAAUUAGCAAGGCAGUGAGGUGAUUGACAUCAAUCUAAUUGAUUAUAUUUAAUCCAAUCACUUAGUGAAUUAAAACUUCAUUUUAAUUCACCUUUCUUCUUUGACGACUACAUUUAAUCAUCUAGAAGAACUCACAAGCUAUGAGUGACAUCUAACCAUAUAUCAUAGCUACCCAAGCUAAUGUAGAAGUUGUUCGGAGAACCUAUUCAGUUGGAAUUACAAUGUAAUUCGAUCCUUCUCUAAAACAAUACUCUCAAUCACAUUACUAGGGUAUGGAUAUAUUAUGUCAAACCCCUAAUGUGAUUAUUCCUUCUUAUAUGAUUCAAUUGAGUCGUAUAGGAACGCUUUCCUUUAUUACGCUCGAUACUUCGGCCAAAGAUUCCCGAAUCAUAUCUUAGCGUAUUCUUCCUCUCUAAUCGAGGAUUAGAGAUUCCUUAUUGCGCAUUCACUUGCCUUCAUGACUAAGUGGCUUAACCCCAAUUAUGCCGUGGACAUCCACGAAUGGGGUGACUUUGACAUAAUCAAAGAUUAAGUACUUAGCCAUAAGACAACGACGAUGCCUCAGGUCAAAGGACUACUUACAUUAUUCCAACCAUUAGAGUUACUUGCUUGACAUGUGAGUAGACCUCCAUGCAAGUACUCUCGUUCGAUUGUGUUCAGUGAACUCAUUCUCUUAAUGAGCACCUACAUACUUGUCUUAGUGUCACAACACGAAUGGGAUGAGACUUUCCAUCCUUCCAUUUGAAGCGGACACAGUAUGUACCGGUCUAAGCAUUGUCAGUUUCCCUUCGACAAUCCAAUGACUAGGAACCUUUUUGGACAUGUUAUGUGAAGAAGGUCUCUGUAGUCUAACAUCAUUAGAUUACUUCUUCAAUCGAUCCAUUGUCCAUGGAUACACUAUUUAGGACAUAUAUCGUUUAUUGAGAUAGUCCUAAUUCGUGUUUUUUCCAUUUGAUGUAUAAGAGUCAUCCAUACAUCGAUUCAUUUGUCCUGAAAGGUUUCUUCCAAAGAUUGACUUUCAGGGCAUAUUUCCAACAAUCUCCCACUUGCACUAAAGUCAAUUACUAGUGUAUCUUAUACAUCUUGUUGAGAGAGCUUAUGCUCGUAGGUUAACUUGGUUAUGUAUUAAUCCCUUUUAUUAUUUAAAAGGGAUUUUCUUAUCAAAUGUUUCCAAAACAUUUGAUGAUGUCUCUUUAGUGUGUUCGAAUACUUUGAUGAGACCUUGAUUCCAUGGCUUGAGCUAUCGCCCCAUUACGUCGUAGUACCCUACUGACGACCUUAUGGUUUGGAUUCAAUCAUUGGUUCUAAAAGAACCCCUUCCAUUCAAAACACCUUUUUGAAGCAGUUUCUAAAACUAUAUAUCAUCAUAUAUUUCGUUUGUAUACUUCAUACAAACUUUGCUCCAACCUUGAGACCAUUGUAGUACAACACUAACAAUCAUUCAUAUGAUUAGUACUUCAUCCAUUAUGAAGUUCCAUUUGAUAAAAUGGCUUAUUUUCACUUUGGUUAACAACCUAAGUGAAUGCACGCUUCCAGAGUCCCACUUUGAUGUUUCUUUCUUAAAGGCAAUAAUACUCUUUCAGUUGCUUUGGUUCUGAUCCUGGGAUUUAGUAAUAUCUUAUAGUGACAACCCUUAUGGUUCUUCACUUUUGGAUAUCUACUUCACAAGUCAAUACAUGUGUCCCUUUUUGUGAUUUUAUGACACAUUCAUUAUAAGGGUUAUGAAAGUGAUUUCCUAUCACAUAGGAAAAUGCUUUCUUAAAUCUACAACAUUUGAGAUUUAAUUCCCAUAUAACAUUAUUGAGAUAGCCUUGCUAUAUCAAUAAGUCCAAUUUCAAGUCUAUACUUCAAAAUUGACCAUGUCACGUUUUGUAUUUUCUCGAGUAACAUCUAUGUUUUAUCAAGUCUAUCGAAUAGACUUUAUUCACAUCUUGUUGCUCAAAUUAUGACAUCACUCCCACUGGCCUUGUUGUAACUUAGAAUUCAUUCAAAAAUAACAAUUAUAUUUUCUUGAUUUGAAUGCAUAUUGCUCCCACUAACUUAAAUGAAUCACACACAAAAGAAUUCCUUCUCAAGUAAUUCCAUUUGAAAUGUGUGACUUGUUCCAUUAAGUCUAUUCAUUUAAAUUAUAUGGUGUCAUACACCAUACUUCAAGUUUUAGUCAUACUAAGACCUUUAAUGUAGUCAUAUAAGAAUUAUCCAAGUCUUUAGUGGAAGCAUGGCUCCUACUAAGGAUAUAGAAGCUCAACCAUUCCUUCUAGGUGGUUGAUAUAAUUCUUUAUUAAAACUACAUAGAGCAAUAUAGUUACAUGAGAUGUUGAAUUUGGUUUGUCUUGUUGUUAACCAUAUGUUGUGACUCAUUUUGAAACUUAUCCCCUUUUGUUUCAUCAACUUGUCCAUAUGCUUGGUUAUUUAGCUUGUUCUCAUAAAAGAGAAUUAUGGACAACUCCCAACAUAUAACAAUUUUAUGCUAGGUUGACGAAACCAACAUUCAAAGACUAUUCUUUAGAAUGUCACACAACAUAGAAUUUUAACGUUUUGAAGAGCUUGAGUCUUUUAACAAUUAAAAUUGCAAACUCUUAAUAAUUGUCAAAUACUAUUAUUCUUUAGACAACUAUAAACCAAUCAUAUUCAAGUUUAUAUCAAUUUUCACACCUCCCACUAUUUCUCAUGACUUUAAUGAGAAAUCAUUUCAUUUAUUCAAAAUGUAUGAAAGUGGAGUAUAUUGGAAGAAGACAUUGUGUAGUAGCUUUAAAACAUUUCAAGCUUAUUUGUUUCAAUCUUCACUAAGUUAAUGUCUUGUUAUUAAGUGACUAAAGUCUUUAAACAUUUUAUAGAUUUAGACACUUCUUUCUUGGUUUAAUCAUUAACACAAUUGACAUUUUAAAACCUUUUAAAGAAUGCCCAAUUAGUUGUUCAAAAUUACUAAUUGAAUCAAGAGUGAUCUUGAUCAUUGUGUUUCAAGUGAUAACCAUAUAAGAAACGUUUUUCUUAUUACUUAUAUCAUUAUAAUGUGAUCUUCCUUUUCUUCAAGAAAGGAUACUCUAGACUUUUGUCAAUUCAUAUAGAACUCAUAGGUAGACAAUUGGAACCAAAUCUAAAGAUUCAUUGUAUCCUUUUAUGUCCUACAUGUGAGAUCUAUCCAUAAUUGAUAAAUCUUUAAGUUUGGUUAUCACAUUACAAUAAGUGAUAUAACUCUUGUAUCUCAACUAGGAUACAACAAGACAAUUUUCAAUUCAUAACACUACUUUAAGGAAAUAGUAUAUUAAAAAGGCAUUCUUCACAUUACAUUAAUAUGAUAUUUCAAACAUUCAUAAUGUUUAAUACAAAAGUAUUAGCUCUAUACAUGUAGAGACUAAUAUAAAUACCUUUAUACAUUUAGGCACUAUAGUGGUCUUUCAUCAUAUGAAGCCACAUAAUAAGUUCUUAAUAAAAUAAGAAAGUUUAAAGACAAUCUUUAAUGCCUAACAAACUUCCUAAGUAGUAAGCAAAAAAUAUAGUGGCCGAAUCCUUCACCACUUUUUCCUUGCUUGUUCAUCUUCUACUUGGCUUCUCCACCUAUAUACAAUUAUACAAGUGAUUAGCUCUUUAUAUCAAAUAUAAAUAUUUAGAAGAUCUAACAUUUAGAAUUGAAGAUAAGAAUAUAAACCAUACCUUGUGGCUUGUCCUUAAGACUUGCAAGGUAUAACCUGCAAUUCCUCCUCCAAUGCCCUUCCUUUCCACAAUGGUGGCAAGUCCCUUUGGGCUCUUUUGCCUUCUUUUUCCUCACUCCUCCUUUCGGCUUAGGAGAGGGUGGCUUCUUCUCAUUCCCUUUGCCUUUGCCUUGCGGCUUGGCCUUGGAAGAGGAUGGCUUGUUGUAGACUACUGCAGAAGUCCCUACAACAUUCUCUUUCUUCAUAGUCUUCUCGGCAGUUACUAACAUAUUUAGUAACUCAGAGAGAGUACUAUCCAUCUUAUUCAUAUUGUAGUUCAUUACGAACUGCGCAAAUGAAUCAGAAAAAGAAGCCAAUAUGAAGUCCUGGGCCAAUUCCCCGUCAAGUGGAGUACCAAGGUUCUCCAAUUGUUCAAUGAAUCCUAUCAUCUUCAGUACAUGUUGAUGCACUGGAGCCCCCUUGACCAUCUUGAUCUUCACAAGUUCACAAACAGUGCUAAAGCGACGGUUGCGCGUUCCUUCACCAUAUAACUCCGUAAGAUGGAGUAUUAUGGAAGAUGCACUGUCCAUGCCCUCGUGCUGUCUCUGUAGCUCCCCAUUCAUGGAAGCCAACAGAUAGCACUUGGCUUGUGUGUCAUCCUCAACGUGCUUGUCAAACUUAGCACGUUCAUCCUCAGUAGCCCCAGGGCCGAGAGGUAUGUGAGGUGGAGCCUUGUCUAGUACGUAGACAAUCUUCUCCAAUGUUAGGAGAAGCUUGACAUUACGAUACCAUGAUGGGAAAUUGUGCCCCUCUAGGCAAUGUUUGUCGAGUAUUUUCGCGAGUGUGCUUCCAACCAUAUCUAAAUACAUAAACAAAAAUAAUUAGUUUGAUUGUUGAUUAAGUCAAACGAUUCGGGUCUUUAAACCGAAUGACACCACCCACCAUUUUUGGCAAAUUCCAUAUCCCUCAAGAUGGAAUCCGGGAGUUUUCAAAGAAAGCUCCUAGCGGGUUAUGGGAGGCUCACUAUUACCAAGCCCACCUCACGAUGAUACGAUGUUGGCCAACAAAAAUAAUAAUGAGAGGGUACAAUUACCCAUUCACAAAAACUUCUUGUGAUUACCCAUCUUUUUGGCCUCUAGAGAGUAAUGCCUCACGAUGAUACGAUGUUGGCAUUAUUUCUCUUAGUUAAGUUCUUUCCCACCAUGCCGGUUUAGAUAGGGGUUCAAGCAUGACCUCACGAUGAUACGAUGUUGGCCACACUCGUUGCCUACCUUAACCUCAUCAAAUGUUUUAAAUAAACUCCUCCUGAGUAUAAGCAUACACUUUGCACUCCCCCAUGAUAGGGUGAAGGCGAUGUACAAGUCAUAAACGAUUGGAGCCUACCACGGUGGAAGGCCACGAAAAAGUGUUCAAAGCACUCUUACGCUUUCAACUUAAUAUUGUAUAUUGGUUGAGGGAUUUUAAGGUCUCAUCAAUUUUAUUUAUUUAAUCAUAUUCAAAUAAAUAAUGUCCUAUUACAACUACUAGUCCAAAGUUAAUGAAAUUAGUAGCAUAUGAUAUCCCCACUAUUCGUUUUCAUAAAACAAAUCAAUAUCAAAACAUUUUUCAAAAUAUUGGAGAUAUAUAUAACUACUAAUUAUUUUCAUUAUAGUUUAGUAGCGUAUGAUACUCCCACUAUUUGUUUUAAGAAAAAUAAAUCAAUAUCAAAAACUAAUUUUUCAAAUAUUGGAAGUAACUACUACUACUAAGGUUUUGCAUUCCUUUGAAAUUUGACUUUAUAGUUAUCUUAGGCUCUUGGAUGACCAUGGACUUAUUAGGUUAUUGCAACAACGAGCCAACAUUGUUGAAUAUAAACUCGGGGAGGUUGUGUCAACUUAAUUACGUGCUUUUCAAUCCAAUUAAAACAUUUUCAUUGAGCCAUUAGAAAUGAAAGACAAUCAUUCAUUGCUAAUUAGGGCAUUGGACCCAUUUAAUCUUUAAUCUCAUGUCAAAACCCUCUUUUAGUUAUGUCUCCUUACCAAUAGUUAAAGAAACUCUAGUCUAGCACUAGAGGGAAUCAACUAACUAAAAGAGAUUAAGAAAUAAUAAGAAUUACAAACCGAUUUGUACAAAUUCCUACAAAUUACACAUACUAAGAAGGAGAGAUAGAUUAAUGUCAAAUGUGACAAGGUCCAUUAAAAACAGUAAUUAAAACACAUUCCCAAGGUUCAAACAAUUUGAUUUUAGCGCCUUAUUUCAUAGCUCAAUUAUCGUUAAGGCAUAAGUCCAUAGUCACCCUUUUCUAACUACUUAAUCACAUUAAAUAAUCAAAAAAUGGAAUGCAACAUGAACAUUUAGAUUUAGCGCAUAUGGGCAUAAUAUAAUGAUGAGUUUAAACAACUAACAAAAUUAAAAUCAAAUAUUUUAACUUUCUAGUUAGUAGGGGCCUAAAUGCAAAUAUGAAAAAGUUAGGGGUCAAACCGUAAAUACUCAAAAGUAUAAAAUAUCAACUUUUCAAAGAUUACAAAAUAGCCCCACAAGUGGAUAAAUCCACUAGGGGAGGCCGGCCACAUUAAGGGAGAUGGGAAGUCUCUUACACAUUCUUACACAACAUGCAUUAAUUCCACAUUAUGUAGAAAAAAUUAAAUUUUGCUUGUCACUUGGUUUUGCUUUGAAGACUUUAGUGAAAAGAGUGAUGGAAAUCCUCCUAGUCAAGUCUAGGGUUUUAUAAAUUUAUGAUAUGGUUAUGGAUGGUAUGAACAUCAUCCAAAACCACAAAACAAUGCAUGAAAACCAUAUAAAACCAUUUUCACCAAAAACCAACCAUGAACACCAAGAACAAAACCAUGAACAUAUUUUCAAGAUUUGUGUAUUCUUGGUGAUUUUUCAAACCCAAAAACAAAAGUGACAAGGUUUCUACUUUCUAGCUUUAAAAGGAUGUGAGAGUGGUUUACAAUAAAACACAAACACAACCCAACAAACCACCCCAAAACCGUGCCCUCCCUUUGGUUCAAAAACCCCAAAUUUUGUUCAUAACUUACUCUUCAUUCAUGCAUCUAAAACACCUUUUUACAUGCAUAUCUUUUUCAACUCUUGAUUUAUAUUUUUCAACCAUUGAAAAACAAAAGAUAAACAUACUUUAAAUAAAGAAAUAAUAUGUCAAAUUAGUUCAAAACUCAAUUUUCAUUCAUGCAUACAAAACAUCUUUUGCAUACAUAUCUUUCUCAACUAUUGACUAACAUUUUUCAACUAUUGAAAAACAAAAGAUAAACAUAUUUUGAAUGAAGCAAUAAUUAUGUCAUACAUAAUAUUAAUACCCAUAUGCAUAAAAUCCAAAAAGACACAUUAUAUAUAAACCUUUGGCUCUGAUACCACUUGAAGGGAAAAUUAUGAGCUUAACACAUGGGAUUUCUAAAUGACUAGCAUGCAUAUACAAUUCAAGAUUUAUAUACAUAAGCAACGGAAGCAAUUUAUCAAAUAAUAUCAAAGCUAUAGUCAUGCAAAUCCCCUUCAAGGUUCAUAGGUUUAUAUAUAAUGCAUCAAAACAUUUUAGUAAAGAACAAAGUGUAGGUUUAGUCUUAUACCUCUUGAUCUAGACUUGAGACCAAGGGUGGACCACCUCCAAGCCCUUUGUUCCUUAAAGUCCUUGAGCCUAGCCUCCCUCCUUGCCUCCUCCACUUUGUUAGUAAGAGUGCUCCAAGGUUCUCCUUAAGUCUCCAAAGGAGAAGACCUCUAAAGAUCCACACCCACUAGUGUAGUGAGAUGGAUGGAGGAAUAACCAAAAGGGUAAAAGAUUGUUAGUAAAUUCACCCUCUAGGUGGCCGGCCUUUGUGGUUUUAGAGAGCUAUUUUCUUUUGCCUCUUUGUUGUUCAAAAACUCACAAAAACCCUAAUGAACUUUGUGCUAUAAAGUUCCUUAUAUAGACAAAAGAAACCUAGUCAACAACUUAACUAAAUAUCUCUCCCAAACCCUUUAAGUGGCCGGCCCUUUAGUGUUUGGUUUGGGCUUUGGGCUUUUAUUAUUUCAAGUCAUCCUAUGCUUAAAUAAAAGCCCAAUGGGUUUAGGCCCAAUGGGCCCAAUUAAACCCGAACGUUUCUUUAAGCCCAAAACGAUCUUUUAUCGCUUUUAUGAUUUCUUUAGACUUUCUAAAUUAAUCACAACACUUAAUCAAUCCAAUUAAUUAUUUCCAUAAUCCAUUAAUUACUCACUACAAGAGUGUAUCCGUGUACAAUCAUUUUAGGUUCUAAUUAGCAAGGCAGUGAGGUGAUUGACAUCAAUCUAAUUGAUUAUAUUUAAUCCAAUCACUUAGUGAAUUAAAACUUCAUUUUAAUUCACCUUUCUUCUUUGACGACUACAUUUAAUCAUCUAGAAGAACUCACAAGCUAUGAGUGACAUCUAACCAUAUAUCAUAGCUACCC